Nematostella vectensis (starlet sea anemone) is the source of this 1616-nucleotide long non-coding RNA. RefSeq lists it as uncharacterized. The transcript is spliced from 7 exons. The record is from RefSeq and is a predicted model, not a curated record. Lineage: Eukaryota; Metazoa; Cnidaria; Anthozoa; Actiniaria; Edwardsiidae.
AACACUUACUUUUACUGUUUGCUUGAUGGAUUCUCCCUCCAAAGAGUUGCAGUCCUCGAACACGAUCGGGCUGACCUCCCAGUGUCUGUGUGUGUCUUGCAGCAGGGCCACAUUCUACUCUCGGAGGGACAAGAGCAAUGGAAGUUCUUGCAGGUUCUGUAAUUGACUCAAGAUCUCCUCUGGAUCGAAAUCCGAGUCGCUAUCUUCACCCGACAUUCUACCAGAAGUGUGCGUAAGCUACGCCUUGGCGCCGAAUACCAAAGACUACUGUAUCCUAAUUGUGACGUCUUUGAUUGGCUUGAGAAGGUGUACUAAGAGAGGAAGAUGUCCCCCAUUUCCCAGUGGAUGCUACGGCACUGAACUUCAAAAAUCCUUUUCUUUAUCUCAUUCAAACAUCCCCUUAGGGAUGUCAUGCUCUAAGCCUAAACCAAUCAAGAGCCUGAUAUACUUAUAACAGAAACUCCCUCUCUUGGAGAUUAUCCUAUUUUGUUGUGUUUUUUUUUUCUAUUAUUAUUUCUUUUUAAUUUUGCAAUAUAUGUCCCACCCUAGAAAACAACGUUCCCGUCCCCUGUCAAGGGUGAGUUGGGUGGCUAUCUGCUAUCUAUUUUGAAAAAUUUCUGGCGGUGGGUGGACGCUGGUGGUGACCAUCAACGCCUCUAACAACGAUCAUCUUCAGAAAGCUGAGAACAACUGCGCAGACUCCGCCACGGCGUGACCUUCAACGAGACUGACACCCCGGGCAGUAAGCUCUCUGAUGAAGACAUCCACGAGAUCGUUGGAACCGAUGGCGUAUUCAUGGUAGAGACGGCUUACAGUCCGCAAUCUUUGAAUAACAAGGUCAAGGACGCGGUGUUCUACAAGAUUCCAACAAGAGAGCAUGCUCUCUUGAUUCCAAGCGGCUCUCGUCAUGCAGAAGAGACAUAAUGUGGGCAAAAUUAAUUAAUCAUCGAUCAGCCAUAUAAGCGCAUGUUGUAUGCCUUCAAGUACGGAUGGCACACAGGAAUCUUUGACAAGCGACAAGGCUACCUCAGGGUGAAGUGAUGCACGGAAUAUGUAGCAAGCGACAUGGUUACUUCUGGGUAAAGUGAGGCACGGAAAUAUAUAGCAAGCGACAAGGCUACCUCUGGGUGGAGUGAGGCACGGGAAUCUAUAGCAAGCGACAAGGCUACCUCUGGGUGGAGUGAGGCACGGGAAUCUAUAGCAAGCGGCAAGGCUGCCUCUGGGUGGAGUGAGGCACGGGAAUCUAUAGCAAGCGACAAGGCUACCUUUGCGUGGAGUGAGGCACGGGAAUCUAUAGAAAGCGACAAGGCUAUCCUGGGUUUAGUGAUGCACGGGAAUCUAUAGCAAGCGCCAAGGCUACCUCUGAGUGAAGUGAUACACGGGAAUCUAUAGCAAGCUAUAUGGCUACCUCUGUGUGAAGUGAUACAAGGGAAUCUAUAGCAAGCUGCAAGGCUACCUCUGGGUGAAGUGAUGCAAGGAAUAUGUAGCAAGCGACAUGGCUACCUCUGGGUGAAGUGAUGCACGGGAAUCUAUAGCAAGCGACAAGGCUACCUCUGGGUGGAGUAAUACACGGGAAUCUAUAGCAAGCGACAUGGCUACCUCUGGGUGAAGUGAUG